GCCGAUGUAGCUCAGCUGGUAGAGCACUUCCAUGGUAAGGAAGGGGUCAGCGGUUCGAGCCCGCUCAUCGGCU
The sequence is a transfer RNA, 73 nucleotides long. It matches the Rfam family "tRNA". Rfam says of the family: Transfer RNA (tRNA) molecules are approximately 80 nucleotides in length. Their secondary structure includes four short double-helical elements and three loops (D, anti-codon, and T loops). Further hydrogen bonds mediate the characteristic L-shaped molecular structure. tRNAs have two regions of fundamental functional importance: the anti-codon, which is responsible for specific mRNA codon recognition, and the 3' end, to which the tRNAs corresponding amino acid is attached (by aminoacyl-tRNA synthetases). tRNAs cope with the degeneracy of the genetic code in two manners: having more than one tRNA (with a specific anti-codon) for a particular amino acid; and 'wobble' base-pairing, i.e. permitting non-standard base-pairing at the 3rd anti-codon position.